UACGGAGGGCGCAAGCGUUGUCCGGAUUUAUUGGGUUUAAAGGGUGCGUAGGCGGUUCGUUAAGUCCGGGGUGAAAGCCCACUGCUCAACAGUGGAACUGCCCUGGAAACUGGCGAACUUGAGUACAGACGAGGGUGGCGGAAUGGAUGGUGUAGCGGUGAAAUGCAUAGAUACCAUCCAGAACCCCGAUUGCGAAGGCAGCUGCCUAGACUGUAACUGACGCUGAGGCACGAAAGCGUGGGGAGCGAACAGG
Molecule: ribosomal RNA, 253 nt
Filed under: uncultured bacterium
Lineage: Bacteria
Description: partial 16S ribosomal RNA
Rfam family: Bacterial small subunit ribosomal RNA
Source: RNAcentral